This 588-nucleotide ribosomal RNA is filed under the name Metschnikowia sp. (in: budding yeasts & allies). Its description in RNAcentral is "eukaryotic LSU rRNA". It matches the Rfam family "Eukaryotic large subunit ribosomal RNA", at positions 1 to 544 of the family's 3401-position model. Lineage: Eukaryota; Fungi; Ascomycota; Pichiomycetes; Serinales; Metschnikowiaceae. The record is from RNAcentral.
UUGCAUAUCCAUAGCGGAGGAAAAGAAACCAACUGGGAUUACCUUAGUAACGGCGAGUGAAGCGGUUUAGUUCAAAAUUCCAUAUCGGAGGAAAAGAAACCAACAGGGAUUGCCUCAGUAACGGGGAGUGAAGCGGCAAAAGCUCAAAUUUGAAAUCCCCCGGGAAUUGUAAUUUGAAGAGAUUUGGGUCCGGCCGGCAGGGGUUAAUUCCACUGGAAAGUGGCGCCACAGAGGGUGUCAGCCCCGUGAGCCCCAUGAAGGCCGUCAUCCCAGAUCUCCAAGAGUCGAGUUGUUAGGAAUGCAGCUCUAAGUGGGUGGUAAAUUCCAUCUAAAGCUAAAUACCGGCGAGAGACCGAUAGCGAACAAGUACAGUGAUGGAAAGAUGAAAAGCACUUUCAAAAGAGAGUGAAAAAGUACGUGAAAUUGUUGAAAGGGAAGGUCUUGCAAGCAGACACUUAACUGGGCCAGCAUCGAUUUCGGCAGCAGGAUAAAUCAUUAAGAAUGUAAAUACUUCUGUAGUGUUUAUAACCCCGGCCCUUACUUCCCCAGCACCCCGAGGCCGGCAAUGUAAGGAUGUGCGAUACGCCA